Molecule: small nuclear RNA, 191 nt
Filed under: Microtus ochrogaster (prairie vole)
Lineage: Eukaryota; Metazoa; Chordata; Mammalia; Rodentia; Cricetidae
Description: U2 spliceosomal RNA (ENSMOCG00000011901.1)
Rfam family: U2 spliceosomal RNA
About the family: U2 is a small nuclear RNA (snRNA) component of the spliceosome (involved in pre-mRNA splicing). Complementary binding between U2 snRNA (in an area lying towards the 5' end but 3' to hairpin I) and the branchpoint sequence (BPS) of the intron results the bulging out of an unpaired adenosine, on the BPS, which initiates a nucleophilic attack at the intronic 5' splice site, thus starting the first of two transesterification reactions that mediate splicing.
Source: RNAcentral
AAUAUUUCCUGGUCUUUUGGCUAAGAUCAAGUGUAGCAUUUAUUUUUAUCAGUUUAAUAUCUGAUAUGUCCUCUAUCCAAUGACAACAUAGUAAGAGGAUUUUUGGAGGUAGGGGUUGGAAUGGGAGCUUGUUUCACCUAUUUCAUGAAUUGACCUGGUAUUUCAGGACCUCCAGGAAUGGUGAAAAAAAU